GGUCAAGAAGCGAAAAUCGCGUUUAGUUUCGGCCUAAAAUUUGGUGUAUACAUCCACCCUUGACCU
RNAcentral lists this transfer RNA (66 nucleotides) under Caridina multidentata. Its description in RNAcentral is "tRNA-Arg". The record is from RNAcentral. Lineage: Eukaryota; Metazoa; Arthropoda; Malacostraca; Decapoda; Atyidae.